Molecule: transfer RNA, 69 nt
Filed under: Anomaloglossus kaiei (Kaie rock frog)
Lineage: Eukaryota; Metazoa; Chordata; Amphibia; Anura; Aromobatidae
Description: tRNA-Gly
Rfam family: tRNA
About the family: Transfer RNA (tRNA) molecules are approximately 80 nucleotides in length.
Source: RNAcentral
AUUUCUCUAGUACAAUUAGUACUAAUGACUUCCAAUCAUUCUAUCUUGGUUUAACCCCAGGGAGAGAUA